Molecule: ribosomal RNA, 465 nt
Filed under: uncultured bacterium
Lineage: Bacteria
Description: partial 16S ribosomal RNA
Rfam family: Bacterial small subunit ribosomal RNA
Source: RNAcentral
CCUACGGGGGGCAGCAGUAGGGAAUCUUCCACAAUGGGCGAAAGCCUGAUGGAGCAACGCCGCGUGGGUGAAGAAGGUCUUCGGAUCGUAAAACCCUGUUGUUAGAGAAGAAAGUGCGUGAGAGUAACUGUUCACGUUUUGACGGUAUCUAACCAGAAAGCCACGGCUAACUACGUGCCAGCAGCCGCGGUAAUACGUAGGUGGCAAGCGUUAUCCGGAUUUAUUGGGCGUAAAGGGAACGCAGGCGGUCUUUUAAGUCUGAUGUGAACGCCUUCGGCUUAACCGGAGUAGUGCAUUGGAGACUGGGAGACUGGAGUGCAGAAGAGGAGAGUGGAACUCGAUGUGUAGCGGUGAAAUGCGUAGAUAUAUGGAAGAACACCGGUGGCGAAAGCGGCUCUCUGGUCUGUAACUGACGCUGAGGUUCGAAAGCGUGGGUAGCAAACAGGAUUAGAUACCCUUGUAGUC